Hevea brasiliensis (rubber tree) is the source of this 2178-nucleotide RNA transcript. It is a transcript of the gene named inner membrane protein PPF-1, chloroplastic, with no coding region annotated. The transcript is spliced from 12 exons. Lineage: Eukaryota; Viridiplantae; Streptophyta; Magnoliopsida; Malpighiales; Euphorbiaceae. The record is from RefSeq and is a predicted model, not a curated record.
UUUGAAAAAUAAAAGAAUAUUCUUACUCCAUUGCCAAAUCUCUCCUCAUCUCCGCCACUCCUCUCUGUCAUGAAAUUGUAGUGUAGCCUUCCCUCUCUCGUCAAUCCUCCAUUAGCCUCUACCUCCCAUGGCGAAAACCUUAAUUUCGUCUCCGCUGUUCAUCGGCGCACCACUUCCCUCACUCUCUCGCCAUGGGCUCCACGCUCUCCCUAACCGGAGAUUUAUAUCCACAAGAGUCAAGUUCAGCUUGCACGAGAUUCCUCCAAUUACUCAAUUAGACUCUUCGAUUGAUUUCAGUUCGAUUGUUAGUAGAGCCGAAAGCCUCCUUUACACACUCGCUGAUGCGGCCGUUGCGGUGGAUUCGGCCUCCGGUGGUGCUGCCUCCAGUUCAACUGAUGCUGCUGUACAGAAGAAUGGCGGUUGGUUCGGGUUUAUCUCUGAAUCCAUGGAAUUUGUUCUCAAGGUGUUGAAGGAUGGGCUUUCAGUUGUGCAUGUGCCUUAUGCAUAUGGUUUUGCAAUUAUAUUACUCACCGUUAUUGUGAAAAUUGCUACGUUACCUUUGACCAAGCAACAAGUAGAAUCUACAUUGGCUAUGCAAAACCUUCAACCUAAGAUAAAAGCUAUUCAACAAAGAUAUGCAGGCAAUCAGGAGAGAAUACAACUCGAGACAUCACGUCUCUAUAGACAAGCUGGGGUUAAUCCACUAGCAGGUUGUUUUCCAACUUUGGCUACAAUACCGGUCUGGAUUGGUCUAUAUCAAGCUCUUUCAAAUGUUGCAAAUGAGGGACUGUUGACAGAAGGUUUUUUUUGGAUUCCAUCUUUGGGUGGGCCAACUACAAUUGCAGCUCGUCAAAGUGGAUCUGGCAUUUCAUGGCUUUUUCCAUUUGUGGAUGGCCAUCCACCAUUGGGCUGGCAUGACACUGCAGCUUACCUUGUUUUACCUGUCCUCCUCGUUAUUUCUCAGUAUGUGUCAAUGGAGAUCAUGAAACCUCCCCAGACGGAUGAUCCAGCUCAAAAGAACACACUUCUUGUUUUCAAGUUUCUUCCUCUCAUGAUUGGUUACUUUGCCUUGUCUGUCCCAUCAGGAUUAUCUAUUUACUGGUUCACAAACAAUGUCCUCAGCACAGCCCAGCAGGUAUGGCUACGCAAAUUAGGUGGCGCAAAGCCUGUGGUUAAUGAGAAUGCAAGUGGAAUCAUCACUGCCGGACGUGCAAAACGAUCAGCUUCACAGCCUGCGAAGCCCGGUGAUAGGUUCAGGAAGUUAAAGGAAGAAGAGAAGCGGAAAAAGUCAAGCAAGGCAUUAGCAGAUGAAGAGGUUCAGACUCUGGAUUCUGCAUCUCGUUCUGAUGAGGACUCCGAUGAAGAUGCUACAGACAAGUUCUCAUGGGACCAGAGAUUUGAGGAUUUAAACUUCUGCAAUGUUCUUUUAUGUCACCACCUUGGUAGUCUUCCUGUUCAUUCACCCAUCGUCUAAGAUUCUGUUAAUUACUACCAUGUACAAGAAGCAGAUAGUGGGAAAUGAUGGUUGUACCCACUACCCAGAGUUGGACUCAGCCCUUGCAUGAUCAUCACCUUGCUGUUUUAAUUUCGUGGCAUCAGUCUCUGGGGUUCCACUCUCCACAGAGGACAGAUAGUGAUUGACCUCACAGUGAAAUCAAGGAGCCAUGGAGUACAGAACUGAGUUGGAUGAUUGUCUAAAAUGUAUGUGCUUUUGCAAGCACGUUCAGCUGUGGAACAUUCUUCAUAUGUAACUGUUUGCUGUGAUAAAGUGAAGCCCACAGUUUUCAAAUCCAUGAUGAACCUCAACAGAUUUGAAAGAAGGGCUGUCCUGUUGUCUUGUUACUCUAGAACUGGAGAACACAAAUUGGUAGCGUAAAGACUUUGAUAAAAGCAAGGCAAAGAUGUCUCGUAGUCAUUAUGUAAAAAUUUAUGUUCAGUUGAGGAAGUUCUUGAAGCAUCAUAUACCUCUAGUACAGACAAACAGGUUCCAGAUAUUUCUAGGCCAAAGAGAAGCAAGCGGUCAAAGAGAAAGCGUGCUGUAUAGAAAGACUUAAUGAUUUGAUCAUUGUACUUUUCUGUGAGUCCUGUAUAUCUCAAGAAAAUGUAUUUUUGUUGAUAUGUAGUGCCAUUUUUAUGCUGCUAAUUAUUCAUUUAAAGAUGAAUUGCAAAUCGUGGAAA